AAGUGGUGAAGAACUUUAUUUUCUGUAGAUCAUCAUGACAUCAGUUUCAAGACCCACCCAACUGGGAGCAUGUGAAAUUUUUUCUUAGAAGGUCAUCCAAAAUUUGAGAUAUUUCACAUGAAGAACAUGUAUGGAGGCUGACCUGUAUGCCAGUUCAGAUCCGUAGAGCCAGGUUUCUCUUCAUGGAUUGCUUUGCGCUCCUCCUCCUGCAAGACAGUGAGUCUCCACAGGCCCAUGAAUGUCAUAAGUGAGUGCAAGCUUGAAGAAGCACCUAUCCUGUGCUCAGGACAAAAUAUCUGUGGUCCAGAGCAGAGCUCCCAACCCAGCUACUAUGAACCACGCUAGGCCCCAGAAAAGAAAGGAAAACAGAAGAGACAUUGGAUUGGAUCUUCCAGAAGGUCUUUGUUGCAAUUUUUCUCCAUCAUUGAAAAAAAAAUUACAUCAUCAAAUAAAGACAAUAGCAGCACAGCUUA
Molecule: long non-coding RNA, 473 nt
Organism: Homo sapiens (human)
Lineage: Eukaryota; Metazoa; Chordata; Mammalia; Primates; Hominidae
Source: Ensembl